Long non-coding RNA from Vidua chalybeata, 662 nucleotides. RefSeq lists it as uncharacterized. The record is from RefSeq and is a predicted model, not a curated record. The transcript has 5 exons. Lineage: Eukaryota; Metazoa; Chordata; Aves; Passeriformes; Viduidae.
ACCCCAGUGUCACAGUGCUGGCACAGGGCUUGGCACAGGGGCACCCCAGUGCUGGCACCACAGGCUGCUGCUCCCCACGUUCUGCCCCCAGCAGGACUUGGAGGAUGCCACGAUUCCAGACUAAUUCUUAGACAACUGAUCAGCAUCACAACCUACCUUGAGAAUUCCUCCUGCAGCAGCUGAAGAUGGGAGCACUGUGUGGCAGCAGCAGGAAUGGGAAGCUCCUACAGCAUGAGGUGGAAUGGGUGUUGGGAAUUUUUUGCUUCAGAAUUUGGGGCAAAGCUGUGCAAGACUUCCUGAACUUCUUUGUUGGUGUGAGUGUUCAAGCACUCCAGAUUCUUCCUGCUACAAAGGAAAAAAUGGGAAUGCUUAAACUGCUAAACACCAGCCUGUGAGGAGUACAACGUUAGAAAUUGAUUCUGAGGAUUUCCUUUUUCCCUGGAUGCUGUUCUUCUCCUCCUGGCUGGAUUUCCACCCAAAGGAAAAUAUCUAUGGAAAAAAUCUGGAGAAGAAACACCAAUGCAGAACUGGGUGUGCUGAGGAAAAUUCAGCAUCUGAACAUCACCUUCCCUGGCAGAAGAGUCUUGAGGAGGAACUUGAGUUCAGGGGUUGUGCCCAAGCAUUCAAGGCAGUGUGUAAGGAAAUCCAAAUGAAGGACAUCA